Non-coding RNA from Balaenoptera acutorostrata (minke whale), 73 nucleotides. The record is from the annotation of a RefSeq genome assembly. NCBI's taxonomy places the organism in Eukaryota, Metazoa, Chordata, Mammalia, Artiodactyla, Balaenopteridae.
UCCCUGGCAGUCCAGUGGUUAGGACUCGGUGCUUGCACUGCCGUGGGCCCAGGUUGGAUCCCUGGCCGGGGAA